AAGUCGAACGGACUUAACCUAUUCUUAACGAUUAGGAGCGGUUAGUGGCGGACUGGUGAGUAAUGUAUAAGUAACCUGCCUAUCAGAGGGGAACAACAGUUGGAAACGACUGCUAAUACCGCAUAUGCCACGAGAAUCACAUGGUCCAAGUGGGAAAGGAGCAAUCCGCUGAUAGAUGGACUUAUAUCUGAUUAGCUAGUUGGUGGGGUAACGGCCUACCAAGGCGACGAUCAGUAGCCGGACUGAGAGGUUAAACGGCCACAUUGGGACUGAGAUACGGCCCAGACUCCUACGGGAGGCAGCAGUCGGGAAUAUUGCGCAAUGGAGGAAACUCUGACGCAGUGACGCCGCGUGCAGGAAGAAGGUUUUCGGAUUGUAAACUGCUUUAGACAGGGAAGAAAAAAGACAGUACCUGUAGAAUAAGCUCCGGCUAACUACGUGCCAGCAGCCGCGGUAAUACGUAGGGAGCGAGCGUUAUCCGGAUUUAUUGGGUGUAAAGGGUGCGUAGACGGGAAAUUAAGUUAGUUGUGAAAUCCCACGGCUCAACUGUGGAACUGCAACUAAAACUGAUUUUCUUGAGUACUGGAGAGGAAAGUGGAAUUCCUAGUGUAGCGGUGAAAUGCGUAGAUAUUAGGAGGAACACCAGUGGCGAAGGCGACUUUCUGGACAGAAACUGACGUUGAGGCACGAAAGUGUGGGGAG
This 702-nucleotide ribosomal RNA is filed under the name uncultured bacterium. RNAcentral describes it as "bacterial SSU rRNA". It matches the Rfam family "Bacterial small subunit ribosomal RNA", at positions 59 to 768 of the family's 1533-position model. The record is from RNAcentral.